AAAUUGAAGAGUUUGAUCAUGGCUCAGAUUGAACGCUGGCGGCAGGCCUAACACAUGCAAGUCGAACGGUAACAGGAAGCAGCUUGCUGCUUUGCUGACGAGUGGCGGACGGGUGAGUAAUGUCUGGGAAACUGCCUGAUGAAGGGGGAUAACUACUGGAAACGGUGGCUAAUACCGCAUAACGUCGCAAGACCAAAGAGGGGGACCUUCGGGCCUCUUGCCAUCAGAUGUGCCCAGAUGGGAUUAGCU
RNAcentral lists this ribosomal RNA (249 nucleotides) under Salmonella enterica subsp. enterica serovar Infantis. Its description in RNAcentral is "partial 16S ribosomal RNA". It matches the Rfam family "Bacterial small subunit ribosomal RNA", at positions 1 to 246 of the family's 1533-position model. The record is from RNAcentral. Lineage: Bacteria; Pseudomonadati; Pseudomonadota; Gammaproteobacteria; Enterobacterales; Enterobacteriaceae.